UAUGUAGUCGAAACUGAUGCCGGACGUUUUAUACGGAAUAGGUGAUUUCUGCGACUGGCUACUAACCCACCACCCAAUGAAGAGUUCACGACACCUACGAUCGAACCACCAUCUCCACCGCUAUCGGUCAGGGAGGCUAGCCCACCCCUUCUCCGUCAUAGUCAUCGGAACAGACGCCGUACAGUUCGUUUCAAAAUUUGAGCGUCAUAACGGCCAUCAUCAAAUCAUAAUGAUAACAACAACAGUAAUAUUCGCUCAAGGAUGUGUCCAAGGACAGCGUGGGUAAAGGAGAAGAAGGAUAACAACCAUGAAAAAACGGGCUCGAUGCUUGCCUCCUCCAUGUAUUGUCUGAGUUUCUUGGUCCUUGGUUGCUAUUGUUGCUGUUUUCUUUUCUUUUCUUUUUUCGUAUAUUUGCGAUGCUCCAUACGAGGGGGGAGAUGUACUAUUUGGCAGUUCUGCCAAAGGCUAAAAGUGUUGGUGUAAAUUGCCGCGAGCGAAAAUGAACAAAUUCGUGCAACUCAGAUCCGUUCUAUGGUCAGAAUUGUAUUUUCAGCGUUAACACAAAAGUGUAACAAGGUGGAUUGUAUCAAAAUAUCAAACACGUUGGACGGACUAAUAAAAAAAGUCUGUUCUGCGUUAGCUGAAAAAUCCAACUUCCUCUUCGCGUCUUCUGCCAUCUUCCAUGUAAACUGCAGAUCAAGGCCGAAAACGAUCGGACGAUACCAAAGUUCAAUCGUCACAUGGUGAAGAUGAAGCCCAUUAGAAGAAACGGAUCCUCACGACAGUAAACAAGAAGAAGACACGAAGCGAUGACAUGAUACAUAAAAUCCACAUGACGUACAUUAAAUACUGUACAAAUAUUCAAAGAGCACGAAAGACAUGACACGAAUAUAUACAACAAAACCUAAAAGAUAUGGCAGGAAUCAACAGUUGGUAUCGCAAAAGAAGAAUGAAGUUUAUUCGUCAAUUUUUAUGGAACUAAAGAUCAGUUACUGAUUUUUCUUUGUCUUUUUUUAACAUUUUCCAGUCUACGUCGGCGAAAUGAAUGAUCGUUUGGAAUUCGACGAGGGCUCCGGAAUAAUGGCAACAGAGCUACAUGUUGAAGAAUGUCGCGGAAUUGGCUUUGAAGGUUUUACCAUUUCCCUGCCGAGUACUUUCCAAACGACUGGAUUUAACAUCAAUGGAUAUCCGAAUAAUACUGCAUCUUCUUUUCGAUACUUUUGCAAUUACCUAAUUAAGUUUGAGACUACUGUAAGUGGAACGGUGACAGUUAAAGAAAAAGAUUUCCAGUUCCAAGAACCAAGUGGCGGAUCAUUUUUUAUGUGAACGAUGAACAACAACAAAACGACAAUAGUGACCCCGAUGACCGAGAUUUGCGUACAAAUGCCGUGGAAUAUUGUGGCACGAUUACAGAACACAAGAUCCGCGAUUUCUCUAAUGAUGAAGUUUUUAUUUAAUUAGCCGCCAACAACACAGAAAACGGCAACGGAGCCGAGAUUGUUAUCUGCAUUGAUUAAAAAGAGAUGAGGGUCAAAACCCGAUUCUAUGUCUUUGCCACUUUUAUGAACUAUGAAGUGAUUAUUGGUU
Molecule: long non-coding RNA, 1587 nt
Organism: Tigriopus californicus
Lineage: Eukaryota; Metazoa; Arthropoda; Copepoda; Harpacticoida; Harpacticidae
Exons: 2
Source: RefSeq, a predicted model, not a curated record